Molecule: transfer RNA, 87 nt
Filed under: Salinivibrio costicola
Lineage: Bacteria; Pseudomonadati; Pseudomonadota; Gammaproteobacteria; Vibrionales; Vibrionaceae
Also listed under: 36 other names
Description: tRNA-Leu
Rfam family: tRNA
About the family: Transfer RNA (tRNA) molecules are approximately 80 nucleotides in length. Their secondary structure includes four short double-helical elements and three loops (D, anti-codon, and T loops).
Source: RNAcentral
GCGGCGGUGGCGGAAUUGGUAGACGCGCUAGCUUCAGGUGCUAGUGUCCGAAAGGACGUGAGGGUUCAAGUCCCUCCCCCCGCACCA